RNAcentral lists this ribosomal RNA (460 nucleotides) under uncultured bacterium. RNAcentral's name for it is "partial 16S ribosomal RNA". It matches the Rfam family "Bacterial small subunit ribosomal RNA", at positions 338 to 795 of the family's 1533-position model. The record is from RNAcentral.
CCUACGGGAGGCUGCAGUGAGGAAUAUUGGUCAAUGGACGAGAGUCUGAACCAGCCAAGUCGCGUGAAGGAUGACUGUCCUAUGGGUUGUAAACUUCUUUUAUAUGGGAAUAAAAUGUUCCACGUGUGGGAUUUUGUAUGUACCAUAUGAAUAAGGAUCGGCUAACUCCGUGCCAGCAGCCGCGGUAAUACGGAGGAUCCGAGCGUUAUCCGGAUUUAUUGGGUUUAAAGGGUGCGUAGGUGGAUUGUUAAGUCAGUUGUGAAAGUUUGCGGCUCAACCGUAAAAUUGCAGUUGAAACUGGCAGUCUUGAGUACGGUAGAGGUGGGCGGAAUUCGUGGUGUAGCGGUGAAAUGCUUAGAUAUCACGAAGAACUCCGAUUGCGAAGGCAGCUCACUGGACUGCAACUGACACUGAGGCUCGAAAGUGUGGGUAGCAAACAGGAUUAGAUACCCGUGUAGUC